GCAAGAGCAACAACUACAACUCCCAGAGGACCAACUACAACUGCCAGAGCAACAACUACAACUACCAGAGGACCAACUACAACUGCCAGAGCAACAACUACAACUCCCAGAGGACCAACUACAACUGCCAGAGCAACAACUACAACUGCUAGAGCAACAACUACAACUGCCAGAGCAACAACUACAACUGCUAGAGCAACAACUACAACUGCUAGAGCAACAACUACAACUCCCAGAGGACCAACUACAACUGCCAGAGCAACAACUACAACUGCUAGAGCAACAACUACAACUGCAAGAGCAACAACUACAACUGCUAGAGCAACAACUACAACUGCAAGAGCAACAACUACAACUGCUAGAGCAACAACAACAACAACACCAAUGACUACUACUGUUGAGGCAGUCACAACAAGGCAACUGGUUUUCAGAUCGGCUGGAGAGACAUUUACAAUUGACCUGUUAAAUCCAUCAUCUGCAGCAUUUAGAACUCGAGCCUCACUAAUAAAGUCUACACUUGAACCUUUCUACCGGAGUGAAUUUUCAACAUUCCGCUUCCUGACAGUGACUUCAUUCAGUAAUGGAUCAAUCAUCAACAGUGCAAGCAUUGCAUUUGCAUCAACAUCUGUUCCCAAUAACACUGCCAUUGCAAGCACUUUGGUCAGUGCAUCUGCUAACAUCACAGCCUUCAACAUUGACACCACUUCCAUUACUGUGGAUGGCGCACAAGUUUCAAGUGGAGUAAGCCACAAUAUCAGUCUCUUCACUGCAUCCACCUUUGUGCUGUUGUCAUGGCUGCUGGCUAGCCUGCAGUAGUGUCAAUGCAGACCUCAGAGAAGAGUGACUACUUUCCCAAAUAUAAAAAGGGACUGUGUUUGCAAUAAAAUCAAAGAAGACAACUGGAUUUGCAACUGUAGCAUGGCUUUCAAAUAACUUCCAGAUAAAAUAUUCAUAGUUUGAAUGAUAACCCUUAAGGGAUAACGUUAAGUAAGCCAGGGGUUACAGGAAAUAGAAUCCCAAAAUAGACAAGGUGAGACUAGACCUAGACUCAAAGGGAUCUUGUCCAGCCUAUGUGGAUUCUAUUUUGCAUAACCACUGGCUAACUACAUCUUAUUCUGCAUAUUAACUGGUAAAGAUACAAACAAAUUGAUGCUUUGUUUUUACUUAAAGAUGAUUUUAUUGAUUUUAAAAUGGUUCAUUUACACAGCUAAAAUAUCCCUCAGAUUCCACUGCUGAUAGUGCUUCCAUGGUGAUGGUAUUUUAUUUGCCUAACUGCAGGUCAAAUCAACAUUACACUUAACAUUUAAUUCUUGGUAAAGUAAAAAAAAGAAGAAGCUGGUUUUAUGCUUUUAUUCUUAACAGAUGUAGAAAUAACAGCAACACCUGCAUAAAGUCCUCUUCCCCAUAACUCUUCUGUGGCAUUUUCACUCCACCAUUCUGGUAACAUUGCCAAAGUCCAUACCAUGUCGCAGUUUGUGGUUGCUUCAUGUCUGUUUUCUUCAAAUGGGAUGAUGUCUCUGUUGGUGACUGGGCUGAAAUGAACCAAAAAUCUAAGUUUUGUGUUCUCCAACAAAUUAUGUUAAAACUAAAAGUAGUAUCCAUGUCAUUAGCAUUUAGAAUGAUAACAACAUAAAUGCUUCUUAAAUUGUUAACUGAUAUAGAAUGCUAACAUACACCAACAUUGUUGCUUCAGUGCCAA
Notolabrus celidotus (New Zealand spotty) is the source of this 1699-nucleotide long non-coding RNA. RefSeq lists it as uncharacterized. The record is from RefSeq and is a predicted model, not a curated record. Lineage: Eukaryota; Metazoa; Chordata; Actinopteri; Labriformes; Labridae. The transcript is spliced from 4 exons.